RNAcentral lists this ribosomal RNA (253 nucleotides) under uncultured bacterium. Its description in RNAcentral is "partial 16S ribosomal RNA". It matches the Rfam family "Bacterial small subunit ribosomal RNA", at positions 524 to 776 of the family's 1533-position model. The record is from RNAcentral.
UACAGAGGGUGCGAGCGUUAAUCGGAAUUACUGGGCGUAAAGGGUGCGUAGGUGGUUUAGUAAGUUAGAUGUGAAAUUCCUGGGCUUAACCUGGGGACUGCGUCUGAUACUGCGAAGCUAGAGUACUGUAGAGGGAAGUGGAAUUUCCGGUGUAGCAGUGAAAUGCGUAGAUAUCGGAAGGAACAUCAGUGGCGAAGGCGACUUUCUGGUCCAGCACCGACGUUCAGGCACGAAAGCGUGGGGAGCAAACAGG